Molecule: ribosomal RNA, 735 nt
Filed under: uncultured Fusobacterium sp.
Lineage: Bacteria; Fusobacteriati; Fusobacteriota; Fusobacteriia; Fusobacteriales; Fusobacteriaceae
Description: bacterial SSU rRNA
Rfam family: Bacterial small subunit ribosomal RNA
Source: RNAcentral
GAUGAACGCUGACAGAAUGCUUAACACAUGCAAGUCAACUUGAAUUUGGGUUUUUAACUUAGAUUUGGGUGGCGGACGGGUGAGUAACGCGUAAAGAACUUGCCUCACAGCUAGGGACAACAUUUAGAAAUGAAUGCUAAUACCUGAUAUUAUGAUUUUAAGGCAUCUUAGAAUUAUGAAAGCUAUAAGCACUGUGAGAGAGCUUUGCGUCCCAUUAGCUAGUUGGAGAGGUAACAGCUCACCAAGGCGAUGAUGGGUAGCCGGCCUGAGAGGGUGAACGGCCACAAGGGGACUGAGACACGGCCCUUACUCCUACGGGAGGCAGCAGUGGGGAAUAUUGGACAAUGGACUGAGAGUCUGAUCCAGCAAUUCUGUGUGCACGAUGAAGUUUUUCGGAAUGUAAAGUGCUUUCAGUUGGGAAGAAAAAAAUGACGGUACCAACAGAAGAAGUGACGGCUAAAUACGUGCCAGCAGCCGCGGUAAUACGUAUGUCACGAGCGUUAUCCGGAUUUAUUGGGCGUAAAGCGCGUCUAGGUGGUUAUGUAAGUCUGAUGUGAAAAUGCAGGGCUCAACUCUGUAUUGCGUUGGAAACUGUGUAACUAGAGUACUGGAGAGGUAAGCGGAACUACAAGUGUAGAGGUGAAAUUCGUAGAUAUUUGUAGGAAUGCCGAUGGGGAAGCCAGCUUACUGGACAGAUACUGACGCUAAAGCGCGAAAGCGUGGGUAGCAAACAGG